CCUACGGGUGGCAGCAGUGAGGAAUAUUGGGCAAUGGACGCGAGUCUGAACCAGCCAAGCAGCGUGAAGGAUGACUGCCCUCUGGGUUGUAACCUUCUUUUAUAUGGGAAUAAAAUGUUCCACGUGUGGGAUUUUGUAUGUACCAUAUGAAUAAGGAUCGGCUAACUCCGUGCCAGCAGCCGCGGUCAUACGGAGGAUCCGAGCGUUAUCCGGAUUUAUUGGGUUUAAAGGGAGCGUAGGUGGAUUUGUAAGUCAGUUGUGAAAGUUAGCGGCUCAACCGUAAAAUUGCAGUUGAAACUGGCAUUCUUGAGUACAGUAGAGGUGGGCGGAAUUCGUGGUGUAGCGGUGAAAUGCGUAGAUAUCACGAAGAACUCCGGUUGCGAAGGCAGCUCACUGGACUGCAACUGACACUGAGGCUCGAAAGUGUGGGUAUCAAACAGGAUUAGAUACCCCGGUAGUC
This 460-nucleotide ribosomal RNA is filed under the name uncultured bacterium. RNAcentral's name for it is "partial 16S ribosomal RNA". It matches the Rfam family "Bacterial small subunit ribosomal RNA", at positions 338 to 795 of the family's 1533-position model. The record is from RNAcentral.